Oncorhynchus tshawytscha (Chinook salmon) is the source of this 550-nucleotide long non-coding RNA. NCBI's taxonomy places the organism in Eukaryota, Metazoa, Chordata, Actinopteri, Salmoniformes, Salmonidae. The record is from Ensembl.
GUUAGUUUGGUCUGUGUUAGGGUCAGUUUGGUCUGUGUGAGGGUCAGUUUGGUCUGUUGUGGGGGUCAGUUUGGUCUAUUGUGAGGGUCAGUUUGGUCUGUUGUGAGGGUCAGUUUGGUCUGUUGUGAGGGUCAGUUUGGUCUGUUGUGAGGGUCAGUUUGGUCUGUUGUGAGGGUCAGUUUGGUCUGUUGAGAAGGUCAUUUGUGAUGGUUAGUUUGGUCUGUUGUGAGGGUUAGUUUGGUCAGUUGUGAGGGUCAGUUUGGUCUGUUGAGAAGGUCAUUUGUGAUGGUUAGUUUGGUCUGUUGUGAAGGUAAGUUUGGUCUGUUGCGAGGGUCAGUUUGGUCUGUUGUGAGGGUCAGUUUGGUCUGUUGUGAGGGUCAGUUUGGUCUGUUGUGAGGGUCAGUUUGGUCUGUUGUGAGGGUCAGUUUGGUCUGUUGUGAGGGUCAGUUGUGACAGUUAGUUUGGUCAGUUGUGAGGGUUAGUUUGGUCAGUUGUGAGGGUUAGUUUGGUCUGUUGUGAGGGUCAGUUUGGUCUGUUGAGAGGGUCAUUU